Molecule: transfer RNA, 88 nt
Filed under: Curtobacterium sp. MCBD17_040
Lineage: Bacteria; Bacillati; Actinomycetota; Actinomycetes; Micrococcales; Microbacteriaceae
Description: tRNA-Tyr
Rfam family: tRNA
About the family: Transfer RNA (tRNA) molecules are approximately 80 nucleotides in length. Their secondary structure includes four short double-helical elements and three loops (D, anti-codon, and T loops). Further hydrogen bonds mediate the characteristic L-shaped molecular structure. tRNAs have two regions of fundamental functional importance: the anti-codon, which is responsible for specific mRNA codon recognition, and the 3' end, to which the tRNAs corresponding amino acid is attached (by aminoacyl-tRNA synthetases). tRNAs cope with the degeneracy of the genetic code in two manners: having more than one tRNA (with a specific anti-codon) for a particular amino acid; and 'wobble' base-pairing, i.e. permitting non-standard base-pairing at the 3rd anti-codon position.
Source: RNAcentral
GGGUGGUUCGCCUAGAGGCCGAUGGCACCUGGCUGUAAACCAGGCGGGGUUCGCCCCCUCGGGAGUUCGAAUCUCUCACCACCCACCA